GGUAGCAUGGCCGAGCGGUCUAAGGCGCUGGUUUAAGGCACAAGUCAUUUCGAUGGCGUGGGUUCGAAUCCCACUGCUGCCA
This is a non-coding RNA of Ciona savignyi (Pacific transparent sea squirt), 82 nucleotides long. The record is from Rfam. NCBI's taxonomy places the organism in Eukaryota, Metazoa, Chordata, Ascidiacea, Phlebobranchia, Cionidae.